GUCACUUUGCCGGAGUGGUUAACGGGAUCGCCUGCUAUAACCUUGUCUUUACAUGGUUGGCAUUCAGCGGUUGCACUUUGUGCGCGAGUGUUCGAAUCGCUCAGGUGACG
This is a non-coding RNA of Blastosporella zonata, 110 nucleotides long. Lineage: Eukaryota; Fungi; Basidiomycota; Agaricomycetes; Agaricales; Lyophyllaceae. The record is from the annotation of a GenBank genome assembly.